CCGUUGGUGAACCAGCGGAGGGAUCAUUACCGAGUGCAAACUCAUAACCCUUUGUGAACCUAUAUCUGUUGCUUCGGCGGCUCGUUCUCGGGCGAGCCCGCCGGUAAUAUCAGUAUCUCUGUUUGAACCCGACGAUACUUCUGAGUGUUCUUAGCGAACAGUUAAAACUUUUAACAACGGAUCUCUUGGCUCUA
RNAcentral lists this unclassified non-coding RNA (194 nucleotides) under plant metagenome. RNAcentral describes it as "partial contains small subunit ribosomal RNA, internal transcribed spacer 1, and 5.8S ribosomal RNA". The record is from RNAcentral.